GUGUUUUAUGAAAGCGAAGAAUCAGGUUAGCACUCCCCUUGAGAAGAAUGGAAAAAAAUUCCAGUGCCCCGUAGCACAUACAUACAUUGAAGCUACCACUAUCUCUUUAUAAUACCCAACAGUAUUUCUU
Mustela putorius furo (domestic ferret) is the source of this 130-nucleotide small nuclear RNA. NCBI's taxonomy places the organism in Eukaryota, Metazoa, Chordata, Mammalia, Carnivora, Mustelidae. The record is from Ensembl.